RNAcentral lists this long non-coding RNA (1876 nucleotides) under Capsicum annuum. RNAcentral describes it as "long non-coding RNA (CANN_LNC002551)". Lineage: Eukaryota; Viridiplantae; Streptophyta; Magnoliopsida; Solanales; Solanaceae. The record is from RNAcentral.
UGCCGGUGCAGUAUAACACUUUAUGUAAAAUAAAUUUCCUUUUAUUAUCCUUUUAUAGGUGGUGAAUAUCUUGUAUAAUUCUUCCAUAGCUGUUAAUUCUUCUCCGUCUUGGGUAUAUAUGGUGUUUAAUAGUCCGAUCUCAAAACAGGUUUUACUAGGCUUGGGUUAGUUUUGGGUAGUGCAAUUAGUUUGUUAUAUCCUUGUAAUUUUUGGGUUAUAUAGUUGGUGUUUGGUUCUUUGAUGUUUGUAGCUCUGGGGUUAUGGUUUAGAAAAGUUUGUACUCUGUAGAUAUUUUUAUUGGCUUACUAUAUACUAGAUUAUUCUUAAAUAAUAUGUUCUUCCGUCACUAUUAACAUGGUAAUCUGGAUACUUUUUCCCUUAAACAGCGCCUCUACUCUGGUUACUCCCCGCCACGGCUUCUUGCCUCAUUGGUUUCACCUUUAGGAUGGCAUAGUCCUUAGGGAUAUUUCUCCGUUUCCUCUUUGUUAAUAAACUUCUUAACAUAUUAUUCUUCGAAUAAUUCUACUAUAAAGUAACUAAUAUGAAUUUAUUUUAUCAUAUCAUGAUUGUUGGGAAUUAUGAAUUUAGCUAUUCAUAAUCAUAAAUAAAUAUACCUGUUCGGGUAGUUUUGAUAUUUCUGAAGUUUGUUCUUUCAUAGCUUUUUUCAUUGAAAUAUGUCUGUUUAAUUAACUGAGUAAAAUAUUUGUUGUGGAAUGGAGAGAGUGUUUGCUUCAACGCAUGAAGGCUUGCUUUGCAAUGCCUUCAGUUGCCUUUAUUUAUAGAAUGAAAAACUUUACAAUCUUCACACGUUUUUUUUUUUUUAAAUGUAAAACAACUACUAAAAAGUCAAAAAAGGAGGCUACUACCUAGCCUUUAAAUUUAAUACAAACCUACAAGCCUAAAAAUCUACAAUAAUUACAACCUUUACGUAAAGUCUAAAGACUUUGUACAAUAAUUCAAUAUCUUGUCUCCAUGGAUCUUGUCGUAUCUGCUAUAUCUCCAUUAUUGCUUCUUAUCCUAUCUUUCCAGCUGGCAUUUAAUCUUCUUUUAUUCUAGAUGUACUUCUGGAAUAAUGUUAUCUGCUCCAUUACAUCUUGAACAUUGGUGAUUUGGAUAUUUGUGUCCAAUUAUUUUACAAUAUCUUGUCAGUAGUCCGUCUGAAAUAAAUCCUUUUUUAAUUGCUCUUGUGGUAGAUUGUUUUUCUGGGUUGAGUAAUGUCAUUAUCCAUUGUCUGACAUCUUCCAUAUCUGCUUGUCGUAGCUCUUUUGAAUUAGAGUAAAUCAUUUUAUGAUCUCUCGAAUAAUAGCUCCAUAUUGGGUUUCCAUUAGUAUAAUUAUUUGUUAGUUCUUGGAUAAUCGUAGCUAGUCCAAUAAGUCGUUUGUUUGCGUAGAAGUCGGGUAUCUCAAUUCUGGGUAUCUCCGGUUGCUGUGUAAUAUCUUCUGGUAUGAUCAUAUCUCUAGUUAGUCCUAUCUUUACAACUUGUAUAACUGGUUUUAUUUCAUCAUAUAGUAUCUCUGCCGGUGCAGUAUAACACUUUAUAUAAAAUAAAUUUCCUUUCGUUAUCCUUUUGUAGGUGGUGAAUAUCUUGUAUAAUUCUUCCAUAGCUGUUAAUUCUUCUCCGUCUUGGGUAUAUAUGGUGUUUAAUAGUCCAUAGUCAAAACAGGUUUUUACUAGCUUGGGUUAGUUUUGGGUAGUGCAAUUAGUUUGUUAUAUCCUUGUAAUUUUUGGAUUAUAUAGUUGGUGUUUGGUUCUUUGAUGUUUGUAGCUCUGGGGUUAAGGUUUAGAAAAGUUUGUACUCUGUAUAUAUUUUCUAUGUAUUUCUGGGCGGUGUAGUUGUAAACUUUUUUAUCUUGGUUUAGGCUAUCUCGGUAUGUNN